RNAcentral lists this ribosomal RNA (330 nucleotides) under uncultured eukaryote. Its description in RNAcentral is "partial 18S ribosomal RNA". It matches the Rfam family "Eukaryotic small subunit ribosomal RNA", at positions 1470 to 1796 of the family's 1831-position model. The record is from RNAcentral.
CCCUUAGAUGUUCUGGGCCGCACGCGCGCUACACUGAUACAUUCAACGAGUCUAAAACCUGGUCUGAUAGGGCUGGGUAAUCUUUUGAAUGUGCAUCGUGAUUGGGAUAGAUGAUUGCAAUUCUUCAUCUUCAACGAGGAAUGCCUAGUAAACGCAAGUCAUCAGCUUGCAUUGAUUACGUCCCUGCCCUUUGUACACACCGCCCGUCACUCCUACCGAUUGAAUGUUCCGAUGAAUACCAUGGACUGAGAGUAUGAAUGGGUUCGCCUAUUUCUGCUUCUCGGGAAGUGGAGUAAAUCUUAACAUUUAGAGGAAGGAGAAGUCGUAACA